UACGGGGGGAGCAAGCGUUGUUCGGAUUUACUGGGCGUAAAGGGCGCGUAGGCGGCCACCGCAAGUCGACUGUGAAAUCUCCGGGCUUAACCCGGAAAGGUCAGCCGAUACUGCGGGGCUAGAGUGCAGAAGGGGCAACUGGAAUUCUCGGUGUAGCGGUGAAAUGCGUAGAUAUCGAGAGGAACACCUGCGGCGAAGGCGAGUCCCUGGACAACUCCUGACACUGAGGCACGAAAGCUAGGGGAGCAAACGGG
Molecule: ribosomal RNA, 254 nt
Filed under: uncultured bacterium
Lineage: Bacteria
Description: partial 16S ribosomal RNA
Rfam family: Bacterial small subunit ribosomal RNA
Source: RNAcentral